UUUUAGUGUGAACAAGAAACAAAUUUUAUUGUAUUCCAAUACAUUAACUGGAACCCUUCCUACAUCAACUGCUCCGAUUUGAAAUCUUGGUGAAACGAAAAACAAAACCAGUAUCUUACUAACAUGACAGAUUGCACAUAUUAACAGAAUCACAUAAGUUGAAUACACUCCAAAUUCCUAUAUAUCCAAAUGCUCACAUGGAAGCCUUGGAUGAUCCUUGAUGCCACUUAAUAGCUAUGGGACUCCUAACUCUGUGAGUUCCGUCGACUCCACUCAAUUGAUCCAAAACUUUGUGAGCUAAUGCUAGACCAACCCAAACCAGCGCUAGAGAAUGUAAUAUCAUAGGACAAUAUCUGAUUUUCUGCAUUGAACUCGAGCUUACUUGGUGAAACCUUGACCUCUGUAUUUGCAGGAGCAUUCACCUUGACCUCAUAAAUUGCAUUAACAGAACUUCCAACAUUCUUCACUACCCUCUUAUGUGUAACCACAUUGGUGUUAGGCUCAAAAACAACAGAGAAUGAUGGGUAGUUGAGAUUGCCCGGGCUACCCAAUUUUCGAUCACAUACAUCCAAAGUUGCAGUUCCACCAACAAAAACUGCAAUUCUCUUGGAAUCAUACCCAAUUGUGCAAAGAAAUGCAAUAUAAUCACUGGUGUCCAUGUCAUACACCAAUCCAGGAUUAAGAGCACUAUUGGGAUCCACAUGACCAGCUCCAUGAACGAAGGGUGUUGAUUCACUGCCAGUAGCAAGAUCGAGAAUGCUUUUCGCCGGAAUUAUCCAAGUUAUAAGCGGUAGUCACUAGAGCAGAUUUUAUAGCAGCGGGUGACCAAUUCGGGUAUGCCUUUCGAAGCAAAGCAGCGAUUCCACUAACAUGGGGACAUGACAUUGAGGUACCUGAGAUUAUGUUAAACUCAACUCUUCUAGGAUCAAUGUCCAAAUCCGUUGGAGCUGAAGCUCCUGUCCAGCCAGCCAAGAUGUUAACUCCAGGAGCUAUAACAUCAGGCUUCAAAAUCUCCGGUGUCAAAUGGUUUGGACCACGGCUAGAAAAGGCUGCAACUUUAGGAGCAGGCGGUGAAGUCCCAAUUACAGUUCCAUGGAAAACAAUUGUUGCAGUAGGAAAUUGACUCAAUUUGAUAUAUUGUCGAAUCUGAUUUCCAGCAAUUUCGCCUACUAUAGUAGCUGGUAUAAGAUGAGAGUCUGCAAUGAGCUCCUCACCACUAUCUGCAGUGUUUGCCAUUAUCAUUCCAAGCCCACCUGCAAGCUUCACUGCGCUUCCCUUCUCUACUCUUGCAUUCAUUCCUCGAUCGCAUACCACAAUUUUCCCCUUAACUUUUGAUGGACUUAGACUCCCCAUAAAGCAAUAUUUACUUCCACAAUCACCAGCAUACACCAAAGGCAGCUUGUCAUCCACUAGCGGCUCACCAGAGUAGAGCGAUACCCCACCAAAAAUCCUUCCAUCGCCUAGCACAACAUCAGCUGGAAACUCUCUGUCAAUGGUAGAAGCACCAACGGUGAGAAUCCAAGGUGCGAUAUUAACGGCCGUAAAAGGAUCUGGCCCUGAAUUCCCAGCAGAGCAAGAAACAACAAUUCCAUGUUGGUUUGCUCCAAAUGCCCCAAUCGCUAUCGAAUCAUGAUCAUAUUGAGGAGCAUAACCGGUGGCACCAACUGAUAAUGAAAUCACAUGGACACCAUCUGCAAUGGCUUGAUCCAUAGCGGCAAGAAUGUCAGAGUCAAAGCAACCCAGACUCCAGCAAAUCUUAUAUGCAGCAAUUCUUGCCUUUGAGGCCAUACCACGAGCUUCUCCAGGUGCGUAUUCGUAAAAGCUCGCGUUAUGGACGAAGGACCCAGCUGCAGUGGAUGCGGUAUGGGUGCCAUGACCUUCUGUAUCUCGGGGUGAAGCUGAAUCUCUUGAUCCAUCAUUGGGUUUCCCUUGAUAGGACACAUACCCUUUAAAGAAGGCUCUUGCACCGAUGAGUUUCCGGUUACAAGCAGAAGCAGGAAAAUCCGACGAUGUCUCGCAGAUACCUUUCCAAUUAUCCGGAACAGGAGACAGACCAGAGUCCGAGAAGCUCGGGUGUUCAGGCCAUAUUCCAGUGUCCAGAACACCAAUAAUCACGUCUUCACCAUAAGCACCAUUUGGCCAAAGGCCAGACCCAGUAGAAAGGCCUAAAAAGUGAGGAGUGCGGGUGGUGUGGAGCUGGCGAAUCUGGUC
This 2211-nucleotide unclassified non-coding RNA is filed under the name Hevea brasiliensis (rubber tree). Lineage: Eukaryota; Viridiplantae; Streptophyta; Magnoliopsida; Malpighiales; Euphorbiaceae. The record is from RNAcentral.